AAUAAGCACAGUUGUGGGUUUCAGUGCCCAACUUUGACCAUCCGUCUUAUUUGAAAUAUGAUUAGUAUUUUUAUUGUUGUUAGAUGGUAAAAUAUGAAUAGUACUCUAUGUGAGACUUAACUUUUAAAAUUUUUUCAUAAAAUUUUCAAAUAAGACGAACGGUCAAACAUUGGGCACGGAAAUUUAUGGCUGCACUUAUA
This is a microRNA precursor of Oryza rufipogon (brownbeard rice), 200 nucleotides long. It matches the Rfam family "MIR812 microRNA precursor family". Lineage: Eukaryota; Viridiplantae; Streptophyta; Magnoliopsida; Poales; Poaceae. The record is from Rfam.